This 1337-nucleotide long non-coding RNA is filed under the name Cucumis sativus (cucumber). RNAcentral's name for it is "long non-coding RNA (CSAT_LNC000016)". Lineage: Eukaryota; Viridiplantae; Streptophyta; Magnoliopsida; Cucurbitales; Cucurbitaceae. The record is from RNAcentral.
AACCGUUGUGCCCUACGAACGAGCCCCACCCGACCCCUAGGCCCUGGGCUUUUUUUCUCUGUCGUACUGGGUGCAAUAUAGAUGGGUUUCCACACCUAUCCGCGGGCUAUCAUCGGCCUAAAGAGGUUGCACAAGAUCAAAGAAACACAACUAGUCCAUUGGAAGAAAAGUAUUGGGACGAAAAUAAAAACUGGGUCUGGGCAUCUCCGAGCGGUUCUUGUGGGAAAAAACUUUGAUAUUACUCAGAGUGAGGCCUCCUAGUAGUUAUCUGUGAAUUUUCGGGACGUUCCUCACAUGGUUAAAAAUCGGCCGAUUUUUCGUAUGGUAAAGCCUUGGCCAUUUUUGGACCGUUUUUGGCGCAACCGUUGUGCACCCCGAACGAGCCCCACCCGACCCUUAGGCCCUGGGCUUUUUUUCUGUGUCAUACUGGGUGCAAUAUAGAUGGGUUUCCACACCUAUCCGCGGGCUAUCAUCGGCCUAAAGAGGUUGCACAAGAUCAAAGAAACACAACUAGUCCAUUGGAAGAAAAGUAUUGGGACGAAAAUAAAAACUGAGUCCGGGCAUCUCCGAGCGGUUCUUGUUGGAAAAAACUUUGAUAUUACUCAGAGUGAGGCCUCCUAGUAGUUAUCUGUGAAUUUUCGGGACGUUUCUCACAUGGUUAAAAAUCGGCCGAUUUUUCGUAUGGUAAAGCCUUGGCCAUUUUUGGACCGUUUUUGGCGCAACCGUUGUGCACCCCGAACGAGCCCCACCCGACCCCUAGGCCCUGGGCUUUUUUUUCUGUCCAUACUGGGUGCAAUAUAGAUGGGUUUCCACACCUAUCCGCGGGCUAUCAUCGGCCUAAACAGGUUGCACAAGAUCAAAGAAACAGAACUAGUCCAAGGGAAGAAAAGUAUUGCGACGAAAAUAAAACCUGAGUCCGGGAGUCUGCGAGCGGUUCUUGUGGGAAAAAACUUUGAUAUUACUCAGAGUGAGGCCUCCUAGUAGUUAUCUGUGAAUUUUCGGGACGUUUCUCACAUGGUUAAAAAUCGGCCGAUUUUUCGUAUGGUAAAGCCUUGGCCAUUUUUGGACCGUUUUUUGGCGCAACCGUUGUGCACCCCGAACAAGCCCCACCCGACCCCUAGGCCCUGGGCUUUUUUUCUGUGUCAUACUGGGUGCAAUAUAGAUGGGUUUCCACACCUAUCCGCGGGCUAUCAUCGGCCUAAACAGGUUGCACAAGAUCAAAGAAACACAACUAGUCCAUGGGAAGAAAAGUAUUGGGACGAAAAUAAAAACUGAGUCUGGGCAUCUCCGAGCGGUUUUUGUGGGAAAAAAACUUUCAUAUUACUCAAAGUGAGGCC